CUACGGGACGCAGCAGUGGGGAAUAUUGGACAAUGGGGGAAACCCUGAUCCAGCAAUGCCGCGUGUGUGAAGAAGGCCUGCGGGUUGUAAAGCACUUUCGGUUGGGAGGACUGCUUCUAGCACUAAUAUUGUUGGAAGUUGACGUUACCUUCAGAAGAAGCACCGGCUACCUCCGUGUCAGCAGCCGCGGUAAUACGGAGGGUGCAAGCGUUAAUCGGAAUUACUGGGCGUAAAGCGCGCGUAGGCGGCUAGAUCAGUCGGGUGUGAAAGCCCCGGGCUUAACCUGGGAACUGCAUCCGAUACUGUCUAGCCUGAGUACAGGAGAGGAGAGUGGAAUUCCACAUGUAGCGGUGAAAUGCGUAGAUAUGUGGAGGAACACCAAUGGCGAAGGCAGCUCUCUGGCCUGAUACUGACGCUGAUGUGCGAAAGCGUGGGGAGCAAACAGGAUUAGAUACCCGGGUAGUC
Molecule: ribosomal RNA, 465 nt
Filed under: uncultured bacterium
Lineage: Bacteria
Description: partial 16S ribosomal RNA
Rfam family: Bacterial small subunit ribosomal RNA
Source: RNAcentral